GCCUAGAUAGCUCAGUUGGUUAGAGUGUGGUGUUAUCCUAGAUAGCCAGUGGUUAGGUGGUGUUAAUAAUGCCAAGGCUGCAGGUUCAAUCCCUGCACGGGAAAGCUGCA
Molecule: non-coding RNA, 110 nt
Organism: Podarcis lilfordi (Lilford's wall lizard)
Lineage: Eukaryota; Metazoa; Chordata; Lepidosauria; Squamata; Lacertidae
Source: the annotation of a GenBank genome assembly